RNAcentral lists this ribosomal RNA (387 nucleotides) under uncultured bacterium. Its description in RNAcentral is "bacterial SSU rRNA". It matches the Rfam family "Bacterial small subunit ribosomal RNA", at positions 917 to 1322 of the family's 1533-position model. The record is from RNAcentral.
GGACCCGCACAAGUAGUGGAGCAUGUGGUUUAAUUCGAAGAUACGCGCAGAACCUUACCAACACUUGACAUGUUCGUCGCGACUCUAAGAGAUUAGAGUUUUCGGUUCGGCCGGACGAAACACAGGUGCUGCAUGGCUGUCGUCAGCUCGUGUCGUGAGAUGUUGGGUUAAGUCCCGCAACGAGCGCAACCCUCACUUUUAGUUGCCAGCAGUUCGGCUGGGCACUCUAUGGAAACUGCCCGUGAUAAGCGGGAGGAAGGUGUGGAUGACGUCAAGUCCUCAUGGCCCUUACGGGUUGGGCUACACACGUGCUACAAUGGUAGUGACAAUGGGUUAAUCCCAAAAAGCUAUCUCAGUUCGGAUUGUCGUCUGCAACUCGACUGCGUG